UUUUUUUUUUUUUUUUUUUUUAACAGGAUCUCACUUUCAUGCAGCCCCUGUUGGCCUGGAACUCUCUAGGCAGGCCUCAGAGAUUUUCAGUAAUCGUCCAGAAACCUCCCCAUGCUGGAUGUGAGGCCUGUGCUCUGUUUGCUUUGGUUUGGUUUGUGCAGUGUUCAGAAUGGAACCCAGUUGUGCUCUGGCUGUGCUCUGCCCCCAGCUACACUGCAGCCCGCGGAUGGUGCUUUGGUAUGGACAGGACUGCGCAGUUCGGAAGUGUGCGUUCUGCUGGUGGUUCCGGUGCAGGGAGGAGGGUGGGUGAGUCUGUGUGAUGGUCGGGUUCCUGGGAUAGCUGCAUGUUCUGUGUGAGUGGCUGGGAUGAGGAAGAUCGGUCUGUGGUUUGACGUGUCCCCUCCACAGUAUCUUUUCCAGUGUGCUGGCUUUGUUUGUGUUUGUGUAUGCACGCUAACUAUGUUCAUGUGCAUCUUGGCAGGUCCUUUGGUUGUAUGUAUGAGUGUGCCGCUGUCACGCUGGCUGUGUCUGUUGCACACUCAUGUGGUGCUGAAUCCGUACAUCCAUAUUCUGCUGUGAGAGUCACUGGAGAUUGGGGGGUGGUUGGGAGCAGCCCUUUGUCCAGCUACAGGAAGGCCCCACCCCCUUCAUCUGCAGGGACUCUGGGAGGGGCCCAGACUGCCAGGCUCCAAACUCCCUCCCAUUGUUCUAGGGCCUCUUUGGAAAACUGGGUGGAAGGCAAAAGGUGGGUCCAGGCCUGGGCCAUCACACUCCCUAGAAUCACCAGGGAAGCAGCCUGGAACCCUUACGGGGAGGCUGGCUAUGGGUCCAUUGUGCAGAUGGAGAAGUUGAGUCUAGAGCAGAAAGGGCUGGUUCCAUGAGUAGUAAGGCCAGAGAGAUCACAGCCUUUACACCCUUCGUGUGACCACUGCCCAGCCUCCUGAUGAAGUUGGGGGUCUAGAUGAGUCAGACCCUAAAAAGUCACAGAACUGUUUUGUUGGCUCCCAUUUCAGAAUACUUCUUGUGGGUUAAACAUUAACCCUAACUCUGGGUUAAGUUCAACGUUUGAAUGUGUCUUGUUUCUCUGUUACUCUUGUUUAUUUAGUGCGCUUGUGGUGGAGCGGAGGACUCUUGCUAUAGCACUCAUGUGGUGGGCCGAGGACGGCUGGGAAGAGUUGCUUCUCUCCUACCAUUUGGGUAGGCCACAAGAAUAGGUCCUCAGGGUGUCAGCUUGGCCCCAGGCACCUUUCCCACUGUGCCAUCACACACGUCCAAAUUCAACUUUUAUCCUCAUGUUGUAAAUGAGGAAACCGAGGACUUAGAGGAACAAUUCACUAGUUAACUAAAAUUAUCUAAAAAUUAUUCAGCUCCAAGUAUUGGGUGGUGUGACUUUGAGCAGAUUGCUAACCUUUUCUGAGCUCACCGAUCCUGCUCCCCAGCCUCCUCAAGGGGGUUGUCCUCCCCAAUCCAAGAUGACCUCAAACCUUAAGCCUCCAGCUGCCUCUACCUGAUUCCUGGGAUUACAGGUUCAGCAUGCCCUGUAAAUCCUACUUGCUUUCCUAGAACUCACAGCCCCACGGGUGGGGGAUGGGAAUAGGAAAUGGAUAACAGAGCACAAGACAACGAUCGCUUUAGAUAGUAAAAGAAAAUAGCCAAGGGUGUCCUGAGGUCUCCAUCGAGGAGGUGACCUUUGACCUGGGACCUCAGGGUGACAAACUAGCAGAGACCUGGUUGGUAAGUGCUCUAGGCUGAGGGCACAUCUAGGGCAAGGGUCUUGAGGCCGGAUGGAGCUGGUUAGAGGAAGUCAAGGGGCUGGAGAGGGAAAUGGGAGGACAGGACGUGGGGUGAAGUGGGGGGGUGAGUAAAGGGGGGUGGAGUUUGGGUUCUGUUCUCAAGGAGAUGGGCACAGAUACAGUGUUUGGCCAGGCCAGAGUCCUGGGGUGGAAUGGGGGAAUGCUCUCUGGUUACAAUCAGAGGUGGGGACAGCCAGAGCCCAAGGUCUUUCCCCAAAGUUCCCUCAGUCCCAGCCCAGAGGCGCCGGCCUGGCUGCUGGAAGACUUCACUGUGGGCACAUAUGGGGAGCAGCUGCGGGGCCAGGGCCAGAGUAGAUCACGUGACACGGACAGGCUCGCCCUGGAGCCUACAGAGCCAAGACUCUGAGAAAAGGCAGUUGAAGAGUAUCUGGAAAUGCGCAUGUCCACAGAGAUAUGCUCUGCAGUGUGGACUUAUAUGUAAGGUCUCCCCACCCCCCACACAGGGAGAGAACACCAUCUCCACACUGUGUGAUCUGAAGCUACUCCUUACACAGAGCAGACAAGAAGUGACUGCUACCUCUGGAGGCUGCUGACUCCUCAUUCAGAGACAGGCCCUGAGAAGCACCCUGAGCUACAGGCUGGGUAGAGGACCUGGAUGCCUGCCUUCAGAGCACAGGCUUAGGCUAGUGCUUAGAAUUCUGAGUGAUACUGAGGGAGGGAGCACUAAGUUACUCUGAGCUAUUGGCAUGACAGACAGGGACAGGAACCAGACUGAAGAAGCUUUCCCUAGCAGGUGUGACUGACUGCACACCUGCAGCCCUCCCUAAAUAGUGCCGUGCCUUCAUUCAGUACAUUUCUCCAUAGAGGACACGGAGGCUUCAUCUUGAUUGUCAACUUGACUGGAUUUAGAAUUACUUAAGAGACACACCUCUGGGCAUGUCCGCCAGAGUCAUUUCAAAAACCUUGAAGGGGGAAGACCCAGGGUCCCAGACUGAAUACAAAGAGGCAAGUAAGAGGUUGAACUAUGCAGCUGCCUUGGCUCUGAGCUUCGUGACUGGAUACAAUGUGUCCAGCCUUCACAUUCACUCUGCGUGGCCUUUCCCACUCUUAACCUGGGGCCACAAGAAACCAGUCCUUCCCUAAAUUGUUUGGUUAGAUACUCACUCUCUCACGGGCCUGGGAAAAGUAACGAAUGCAAUCAACCACCCAGCCAGGAACCUUCAACCCUGUGAGCCACAGUGAUGCACACACCUAUAGUCCCAGCAGAGGCCACUCUGAUAGUCUCAGUGUAGUGCAGUCCCAGCUAUACUCCAAAAGACCAACUUAGAUCACACUUCC
RNAcentral lists this long non-coding RNA (3092 nucleotides) under Mus musculus (house mouse). RNAcentral describes it as "long non-coding RNA chr2:152727707-152730799". The record is from RNAcentral. Lineage: Eukaryota; Metazoa; Chordata; Mammalia; Rodentia; Muridae.